Molecule: ribosomal RNA, 501 nt
Filed under: uncultured bacterium
Lineage: Bacteria
Description: partial 16S ribosomal RNA
Rfam family: Bacterial small subunit ribosomal RNA
Source: RNAcentral
AUUGAACGCUGGCGGCAGGCUUAACACAUGCAAGUCGAGCGGGGGAAGGUAGCUUGCUACCGGACCUAGCGGCGGACGGGUGAGUAAUGCUUAGGAAUCUGUCUAUUAGUGGGGGACAACAUCUCGAAAGGGAUGCUAAUACCGCAUACGUCCUACGGGAGAAAGCAGGGGAUCUUCGGACCUUGCGCUAAUAGAUGAGCCUAAGUCGGAUUAGCUAGUUGGUGGGGUAAAGGCCUACCAAGGCGACGAUCUGUAGCGGGUCUGAGAGGAUGAUCCGCCACACUGGGACUGAGACACGGCCCAGACUCCUACGGGAGGCAGCAGUGGGGAAUAUUGGACAAUGGGGGGAACCCUGAUCCAGCCAUGCCGCGUGUGUGAAGAAGGCCUUAUGGUUGUAAAGCACUUUAAGCGAGGAGGAGGCUACUGAGACUAAUACUCUUGGAUAGUGGACGUUACUCGCAGAAUAAGCACCGGCUAACUCUGUGCCAGCCGCCGCCGUAA